AAAGGAGAGGCAGUUCCCCUGCGAGCCAGGUAUCGGCUCCCAACGCAUCGCUCCACACCUUCCUGGCUAAGGCAGAAAACCGGUUUCCGGCCCUGUCCUCCUGGAACGUCCAUGGGGAUUCUGUGUCCAAGAAGCACAUGAGGGUAACCCUAGGUCCUGGGAGGCCUACCCCACAGAAAUGACCCAACCCUGGAGUCUGUAGGGCAGGCCACAGAAACCUUAUCACCUCUAAGGAGAGCUGCCUUCUUCUAGAAGAUGUGCUUCUCCUCCUCUCCCAUCUCCAGCUCCCUCCUACCUCUCCAGUUACCUCGAAUGAACAGCAGAUGGAUUCAUCCCCAAAUCCCUGAUCACCAGGGCAGAACUGGGCACACAUCCCCAAUCUAGAAGAGAUUGGGUGGAUGGGUGGAUAUUGAAACCUACCAACUUGACCUGCAUAUGGAAUUCUUCAAUCCUGUGGUUCUCAAUUUUGGCUACAUUUUAGAAUCAUCUAGAGAACUUUUCAAAAUGCCUGAUGUUCUGGGUUUCACUCCCAGAAAUUGCAGUUUGUUGUGUUAAAAAACAAAAAUUCAACUGAGUAUAUUUGAA
Molecule: long non-coding RNA, 585 nt
Organism: Suricata suricatta (meerkat)
Lineage: Eukaryota; Metazoa; Chordata; Mammalia; Carnivora; Herpestidae
Exons: 2
Source: RefSeq, a predicted model, not a curated record